Molecule: long non-coding RNA, 1004 nt
Filed under: Fragaria vesca (wild strawberry)
Lineage: Eukaryota; Viridiplantae; Streptophyta; Magnoliopsida; Rosales; Rosaceae
Description: long non-coding RNA (FVES_LNC004560)
Source: RNAcentral
ACCGUCAAUUAAUUUUGACGCUUUUAUUUCUCUGAAAGAGAGUUACCGUAAAAUGGGAUUUUCGGUGAAUAUAAAUAUGUAUAUAUGAGAGAGUAUGUAUAUAAAAAUGCUAGCUAGCCAUAUGUGUCUGUCCACCUUAAUGGCGUAGCAUAUAGCCGCAUUAUGGUGUGACGUGAGCGUUGGACGUAAGCGUAGUAGCCCUAUAUGAGUGUUUAAUUCAUAUAGGGGGUAUGGGCACAUAUUUAUACACCCGUCUGUCCACCUUGAUGGCGUAGUGUAGCACCGCAUUAAGGCGUGACGUGAGCGUUGGACGCGAGCGUAGUAGCCCUAUAUAGACCAUGAAUUUAUAUAGGGAGUAUGGACGUAGUGUAAAUACAUACAUAUAUUAUAUAGAGUCUGAGAGGCUCGACAUUUAUGAGAUAAAAGUUUUAUCGCUUGCGGCAUGCAUUCGUAUUUUUUUUCCUUAGAAAUUAAUUUGGGGAAACAUAAAUAUUUUAUUUAUUAUUUUAUUUUUGUCCACUCACUCUAACAUUAUUAAAUGUUUUCCCCUGGGCCCUUCGUUUUAAAUUGCCCAGUCUGCAGAGUUCGGGUUGGAUCUAGUAGGAGACGAGGCAUAGUCACCCGCAUUUCUGCCAGUUUUCGUCAGUAGGUUACCUGUUCAACCUACUCGUGUUUUCUUGCUUCCGCUUGUGUUUAGUAGCUCUGAAUACUUUAGAAUUUUUGUAUAUUAUGCGAUGUUCAGAAGUGAUAAAUUAAGAGUGUAAUUUUAAAUUUUCGAGUUAGGGUUGUCCAUCUGCAAGGGAGAUUUUCUUAAUCUUUUCAGUAAAUUUUCCUUGGAGGUGGUCCCCGCACGACUUACUCUGGGUUUCAGGGUGAAAUUCGGGGUGAGUCGUGUCACUGGAUCAUAUGAUCCUUAGAGCUGAGGGCAAUGCUUGAGAUUGGAUUCAUCGAGCAACGACUAUAAGGAGCGAGAGUCAGUGACUCCCAUAUCCACCGUGGCAUUU